AUGUUGGGCUGUUUUCAUCACUUUGGCUCAACUAGAAUCUUGAAAUCUUGGUCAAGCUUUCUGAGAGAAUCAGGAAUCCCAUCUCUGACCUGUAUGACUUUAACACCUAUAUGUCCUUGGAUAACGGAGAUCGUCUUUCAAGGUGAGACCACAGGCAAGUAUGAAUCCUUUAAAAGAGAAGGCACCCUGGACCAGUGAUAAACUUCUAGCAACACCAAAGGAUGGAAGACACACUGACAACUGGAAAGAACUUUGAUUCAAAGACAUUAGGAGGAAUGGAUCAUGUAAGAUUAAUUGCCAAUCAUAUUAACUUCAUAUAUAGCAAAGUACAUUCACAUGCACAUAGGAAUACAUAUGCAUCCACCACAACAUAUCUAGAACACGAACAGAUUUCACAAUGACAUUAGGG
Molecule: long non-coding RNA, 409 nt
Filed under: Monodelphis domestica (gray short-tailed opossum)
Lineage: Eukaryota; Metazoa; Chordata; Mammalia; Didelphimorphia; Didelphidae
Description: lncRNA (ENSMODG00000036352.2)
Source: RNAcentral